RNAcentral lists this ribosomal RNA (253 nucleotides) under uncultured bacterium. RNAcentral's name for it is "partial 16S ribosomal RNA". It matches the Rfam family "Bacterial small subunit ribosomal RNA", at positions 524 to 776 of the family's 1533-position model. The record is from RNAcentral.
CACGGGGGGAGCAAGCGUUGUUCGGAAUCACUGGGCGUAAAGGGCGUGCAGGCGGUCAGGUAAGUGGGAUGUGAAAUGCCCCGGCUCACCCGGGGACCGGCACCUCAUACUGCUUGGCUUGAGUACGGGAGAGGAUGUGGGAAUUCCUGGUGUAGCGGUGAAAUGCGUAGAUAUCUGGAGGAAUACCGGUGGCGAAGGCGGCAUCCUGGACCGGCAUUGACGCUGAGGAGCGAAAGCUAGGGGAGCAAACGGG